Unclassified non-coding RNA from Callithrix jacchus (white-tufted-ear marmoset), 285 nucleotides. It matches the Rfam family "Metazoan signal recognition particle RNA". Rfam says of the family: The signal recognition particle (SRP) is a universally conserved ribonucleoprotein. It is involved in the co-translational targeting of proteins to membranes. The eukaryotic SRP consists of a 300-nucleotide 7S RNA and six proteins: SRPs 72, 68, 54, 19, 14, and 9. The record is from Ensembl. NCBI's taxonomy places the organism in Eukaryota, Metazoa, Chordata, Mammalia, Primates, Cebidae.
GCAGGGUGCGAUGGCACAUGCCUGUAGUCCCAGCCACUCUGGAGGCUGAGGUGGGAGGAUCACUUGAGCGCAUGAGUUCUGGGCUGUAGUACUCUAUGCUGAUUGGGUGUCCGCACUAAUUUCGGCAUCAAUAUGGUGACCUCCUGGAAACGGGGACCACCAGGUUGCCUAAGGAGGGGUGAACUGGCCCAGGUUGGAAACGGAGCAGAUCGAAACUCCCGUGCUGAUCAGUAGUGGGAUCGCACCUGCACUCCAGCCUGUCAAUAUAGUGAGACCCCGUAUCUA